Molecule: microRNA precursor, 201 nt
Filed under: Setaria italica (foxtail millet)
Lineage: Eukaryota; Viridiplantae; Streptophyta; Magnoliopsida; Poales; Poaceae
Also listed under: 1 other name
Description: MIR1435 microRNA precursor family
Rfam family: MIR1435 microRNA precursor family
Source: Rfam by way of RNAcentral
UAUCUUUGUCCUAAGUCAAACUUGUCGAACUUUGACCAAGUUUAUAGAAAAAUAUAUGAACAUCUACCAUAUCAAAUAAAUACGCUAUCAAAAUAUUUUUCAUGUUCUAUCUGGUGACACUAGUUUGAAGUUGUAGGUAUUUUGUGCAUUUUUCUAUAAAUUUGUUCAAAGCUAUAAAAGUUUGACUUAGGAUAAAGCUAG